CAAGGACUGGCCAUUCAAGACUGCACGUUGAGCUUGAAAUAUCUUCUUUCCAGAUCUAAGGGCCUGACAAAUAAUGGGACUGGCUGCCAUGCUCGUGGUCUUCACUGCUAUGCUGCUAAUGUUCAGCCCUUCACUACAGACAGGAGUAACGCUACCUACGACUUGGGCUGCUAACCAAAAGACCGGAAAGCCAGGCCAGGGUUGUAGGUCUGGCUCCUGCGCCUACCAAGUCUUGCCUGACAGGCUCAACCGAGAAAACAUUGAUAGACAAAAAGAAAAGGCCCCGCAGCACAAAAUGGGCCCCCUUGGUUACGGCCGGAGGAGGAGAUCGGUUGCUGAGAAGAAGCAUCUUCUAUCGCUCAUAGCAGGCAGGAUCGCUGCAUGACCGGUUUUAUACAAGCUGGAUAACUUACAGCAAGAACGAACUGUUGCACACAUUGCUAAUAAUAAAACAACAACAA
Molecule: long non-coding RNA, 461 nt
Organism: Ornithodoros turicata
Lineage: Eukaryota; Metazoa; Arthropoda; Arachnida; Ixodida; Argasidae
Exons: 3
Source: RefSeq, a predicted model, not a curated record